GUCAUUUUAGCAGCACCUAUACUAAAACUGGAAUGAUACAGAGAAGAGUAGCAUCGCCCCUGUGCAAGGAUGAUACACAAAUUUGAGAAGCAUUCCAUGUUUUA
Zalophus californianus (California sea lion) is the source of this 104-nucleotide small nuclear RNA. The record is from Ensembl. NCBI's taxonomy places the organism in Eukaryota, Metazoa, Chordata, Mammalia, Carnivora, Otariidae.